CACGAUUUCCGAUUUGGAUUCUCCAUCUAGUGGCGGACGGGUGAGUAACACGUGGGUGACCUACCUUUGAGUUUGGGACAACUACUGGAAACGGUAGCUAAUACCAAAUAAUAUACAGUUUCGUUUCUGUAUUAAAAGGCGCUUUACAGCGUCGCUCUUAGAUGGGCCUGCGGCGUAUUAGCUAGUUGGUGAGGUAAUGGCUCACCAAGGCGACGAUGCGUAGCCGGACUGAGAGGUUGAUCGGCCACAUUGGGACUGAGACACGGCCCAAACUCC
This 276-nucleotide ribosomal RNA is filed under the name uncultured bacterium. Its description in RNAcentral is "partial 16S ribosomal RNA". It matches the Rfam family "Bacterial small subunit ribosomal RNA", at positions 65 to 339 of the family's 1533-position model. The record is from RNAcentral.